This 502-nucleotide ribosomal RNA is filed under the name uncultured bacterium. RNAcentral describes it as "partial 16S ribosomal RNA". It matches the Rfam family "Bacterial small subunit ribosomal RNA", at positions 29 to 523 of the family's 1533-position model. The record is from RNAcentral.
AUUGAACGCUGGCGGCAUGCCUUACACAUGCAAGUCGAACGGCAGCACGGGAGCUUGCUCCUGGUGGCGAGUGGCGAACGGGUGAGUAAUACAUCGGAACGUACCCAGUAGUGGGGGAUAACGCACCGAAAGGUGCGCUAAUACCGCAUACGACCUAAGGGUGAAAGCGGGGGACCGUAAGGCCUCGCGCUAUUGGAGCGGCCGAUGUCUGAUUAGCUAGUUGGCGGGGUAAAGGCCCACCAAGGCGACGAUCAGUAGCUGGUCUGAGAGGACGAUCAGCCACACUGGGACUGAGACACGGCCCAGACUCCUACGGGAGGCAGCAGUGGGGAAUUUUGGACAAUGGGGGCAACCCUGAUCCAGCAAUGCCGCGUGUGCGAAGAAGGCCUUCGGGUUGUAAAGCACUUUUGUCAGGGAAGAAAUCUUUUGGGCUAAUACCCCGGAAGGAUGACGGUACCUGAAGAAUAAGCACCGGCUAACUACGUGCCAGCCGCCGCCGUAA